GUCGCCUUAAAGGCAUGAGAUUCCUCGUUGGUACCGGAAGCCAACUCAUAAAAGCAUCAAUAAAGAGGGAUAAAGCUUUUAUAUUCGGUUCGAUCAUAAAAAAAUUAUGAUCAGAUCGUCAUCGUCUAUCACGUAUCCUCCAUCCCACGAAUCAUAAAGCAGAAGCAGAAAGAGAAAAAAAGAAGAGAGGAGGAGGGAAGGA
RNAcentral lists this long non-coding RNA (202 nucleotides) under Elaeis guineensis (African oil palm). Its description in RNAcentral is "long non-coding RNA (EGUI_LNC080665)". The record is from RNAcentral. Lineage: Eukaryota; Viridiplantae; Streptophyta; Magnoliopsida; Arecales; Arecaceae.